GGAUGUGAGGGCGAUCUGGCUGCAACAUCUGUCACCCCAGCUGAUCUGGCUGGCUAGGUGGGUGUCCCCUUCCUCCCUCACCGCUCCAUGUGCUUCCCUUCUGAAGCUGCAUGCUCAGUCGAAGAGGACGGCCUUCCCUGAAUAGAGACAGACCGGUCUUCGGUUGAGGGUAUACGAGUAGCUGCGCUCCCCUGCUAGAACCUCCAAACAAGCUCUCAAGAAAGAUACAUCCAUUCACAUAAAAUAUAUUUAUUGAACACCUUAUAUGCACCAGGCAUUGUCCUAGU
Unclassified non-coding RNA from Erinaceus europaeus (western European hedgehog), 287 nucleotides. Its record names the gene 7SK. It matches the Rfam family "7SK RNA". From Rfam's summary of the family: 7SK was discovered as an abundant small nuclear RNA in the mid-70s but a possible function has only recently been suggested. Two independent studies have found that 7SK RNA binds the CDK9/cyclin T complex (known as elongation factor P-TEFb). P-TEFb activates transcription by phosphorylating the C-terminal domain of RNA polymerase II. The record is from Ensembl. NCBI's taxonomy places the organism in Eukaryota, Metazoa, Chordata, Mammalia, Eulipotyphla, Erinaceidae.